This 68-nucleotide transfer RNA is filed under the name Marmota monax (woodchuck). RNAcentral's name for it is "tRNA.Ala". The record is from RNAcentral. Lineage: Eukaryota; Metazoa; Chordata; Mammalia; Rodentia; Sciuridae.
GGAUUGUGGCUCAGUGGUAGAGUGCUUGCCUAGCAUGUGUGAGGCACUGGGUUUGAUUCUCAGCACCA